Molecule: ribosomal RNA, 510 nt
Filed under: uncultured bacterium
Lineage: Bacteria
Description: bacterial SSU rRNA
Rfam family: Bacterial small subunit ribosomal RNA
Source: RNAcentral
GAUUCUGGCUCAGGAUGAACGCUAGCUACAGGCUUAACACAUGCAAGUCGAGGGGCAGCAUUGGAGUAGCAAUACUCAGAUGGCGACCGGCGCACGGGUGAGUAACACGUAUCCAACCUGCCGCUUACUCGGGGAUAGCCUUUCGAAAGAAAGAUUAAUACCCGAUGGUAUAAAGAGUUCGCAUGUUCUCUUUAUUAAAGAAUUUCGGUAAGCGAUGGGGAUGCGUCCCAUUAGAUAGUUGGCGGGGUAACGGCCCACCAAGUCUACGAUGGAUAGGGGUUCUGAGAGGAAGGUCCCCCACAUUGGAACUGAGACACGGUCCAAACUCCUACGGGAGGCAGCAGUGAGGAAUAUUGGUCAAUGGACGAGAGUCUGAACCAGCCAAAGUAGCGUGAAGGAUGACUGCCCUAUGGGUUGUAAACUUCUUUUAUAAGGGAAUAAAGUGAGGGACGUGUCCUUUUUGUAUGUACCUUAUGAAUAAGGAUCGGCUAACUCCGUGCCAGCCGCCGC